AGUAGGGGUGUGCAAAUAAUAAGGUUAACCAUACCCAAAUUACUAACCAAACCAUUUCCAUUUUUUAAAAGCCCAACCCAUUUUAUAAAAAAACCAACCCAGACCAUAAAACAUAAAAAUGGUAAACCGGUUUACCAUUUCACUUAGUUGGUUUAGAACCGGUUUAUUCUUCUCAAAAUUAAUUUCAAAAGUGAGAAACCAAAUAACACAGUGAGAAACCAAAUCACAACAUCACAGUUUCAUCAAUCAUCGCAAAUCCUCCUCCUCCGUCAAACCCACUCUCCUCCUCCGUCAAACCCACUCCCACCGGCGAAUCCUCCUCCGUCAAACCCACUCUCCNNNNNNNNNNNNNNNNNNUUAAAUCGCAAAAUCAGCUUAAUCGGUGAGUGAAUCUAAUAAUCUAAUGUUGAUUUCUGUUGAAUAACUUGUUGAAUCUGUUGAGUAGUUCUAUAAUUAAGUAGUUCUUGUGUAUUGCUAUUCUUCUGCUGCUACAAUUACUGUUGAUUAGUUCUAUAAUUAAGUAGUUCUUGUGUAUUGCUAUUCUAAUGUUGAUUUCCACAGAAAAGGUAUAUGAAUUUGAUGGUAAAUAACCAUAGAUGAUGCAUUCUUCUGCUGCUACAAUUACUGUUUCUUAUCAUUACUGUUUUCGUGCUCAAUAUACAAUCAGUUUGUGUUCUGGCAUUGUGUGCAUUUUUCGUUGAUGGAUAGCUUAUUGAAUAAUCUGUUGAAUCUGUUGAAUAGCUUAUUGAAUAAUCUGUUGAUAAUCCGUUGAAUAGCUUGUUGAAUCUGUUGAAUAAUAUAUUCAUUAGAUUAUUAGCUUAUUGAAUAAUAUAUUCAUUAUAUUCAUUAGCUUAUUAUGAUUGUCUAUUUGACAGUGUUGAAAUGAAUACUCAUGGCGCUUCCGAGANNNNNNNNNNNNNNNNNNNNNNNNNNNNNNNNNNNNNNNNNNNNNNNNNNNNNNNNNNNNNNNNNNNNNNNNNNNNNNNNNNNNNNNNNNNNNNNNAACGGCAAAUAUGGAAGGGAGUUCUUCUAUAAUCUCGAAGUUUGAUCAAGUGGAACUUCGGAAAGCAUUGGUGAAAAUGUUCAUAGCUUUGGAGCUUCCUUUUAGAAAGGUGGACCAUGAAGCUCUUCAUCAUUUUAUAAACCUUGGAAUACCACAAUUUAAGAUUCCCUCACGCACUACACUAUCCCGUGACACCUUAUCAUUGUGGGACAGCGAGAAAACAAAGUUGAAAACUUUCCUUUCCCAACAUUGUGGUAGAGUUUGCCUAACUACCGACUUUUGGACUUCUUGCCAAAACUACAGUUAUAUGUCUAUGACGGCCCAUUUUGUUGACAACAACUGGAAGUUGAACAAGAAGAUUUUAAAUUUUUGUAAAGUGUCAGGCCAUUCAGGAGAGGUGAUGGCUCAAACAGUGUGGAAUUGCUUAUCUAGUUGGGACUUAAAUCAGGUGCUCACAAUGACAGUUGACAAUGCAUCAUCAAAUGAUGUUGGAAUUUCAUACCUCAAAAAGUCCCUCAUGCCUGAUUUAGUUAUGGAAGGAAAAUAUUUUCAUACUCGUUGUUUUGCUCAUGUCUUAAAUUUGAUCGUGAAGGACGGUCUAAAGGACAUUGAUAAUUCAGUUUUGAGGAUUCGCGGUGCAGUGAAGUACAUUCAAUCUUCCGGUACUAGGUAUGAUAAAUUCAAGGCUUGUAUUGAUCCACAAAAAGUAGAAUAUAAGGGUUUUGUCAACUUAGAUGGUGACACAAGAUGGAAUUCUACUUAUUUGAUGCUUGAGGCUGCUUUGAAACAUAUGUCAACAUUUGCAAAGUUAGAGAUGCAUGAUCGUGCCUAUGUUAGGGAGUUACAAAGUGGGAAAGGUCUCCCUUUGCUCGAGGAUUGGGAAUAUGUGCACUCAAUUCUCCCAUUUUUAGCAUUGUUUCACGAUGCUACAGUGCGCAUCUCUGGUUCCUCCUAUGCAACUAGCAAUAUGUACAUGUUUGAGGUAUUUGGGAUUGGAAAGAAAAUAAGGGAAAUGUGUGAUCAUCUAGAUUUGCGUAUAAGAUCGAUGGCUAAAAGUAUGAAGAUAAAGUAUGAUAAGUAUUGGGGGGAACCCAACAGCCUAAACUCGUUGCUUUUGAUUGCUCUUAUAUUAGAUCCCAGGCACAAAAUGAAGUUUAUCAAUUGGUAUGCUGAGCAUUUCUUUGGUAGCGAUGAGGCAAAAAGUUUCAAAGAAAAUGUAAAUUCAAGUUUGAAUUCACUUUUCAACGAGUAUAAUGGCCAGGUGGGAGAGUCUCAUGCUAGCUCACAAGAAUACCGACCAAAUGAAGGUGGUAAAGCUGAUCCGUAUGGCUUUAAGCCAUUCUACAAGUCAAGUGGACGCAACAAAGCUGAUUCUGAAGUAACAAAGUACUUGGAUGAAAUAUUAGAGGAAGAAGGGGAUUUAGAUGUCCUAAUUUGGUGGAAGGAUAAUUGUACUCGAUAUCCAGUCCUUGCAAGAA
This 2481-nucleotide long non-coding RNA is filed under the name Trifolium pratense (red clover). RNAcentral describes it as "long non-coding RNA (TPRA_LNC000861)". Lineage: Eukaryota; Viridiplantae; Streptophyta; Magnoliopsida; Fabales; Fabaceae. The record is from RNAcentral.